AUUGAACGCUGGCGGCAUGCCUUACACAUGCAAGUCGAACGGCAGCACGGACUUCGGUCUGGUGGCGAGUGGCGAACGGGUGAGUAAUGUAUCGGAACGUACCUUUCAGUGGGGGGAUAACGUAGCGAAAGUUACGCUAAUACCGCAUAUUCUGUGAGCAGGAAAGCAGGGGAUCGCAAGACCUUGCGCUGAUUGAGCGGCCGAUAUCAGAUUAGCUAGUUGGUGAGGUAAAGGCUCACCAAGGCGACGAUCUGUAGCGGGUCUGAGAGGAUGAUCCGCCACACUGGAACUGAGACACGGUCCAGACUCCUACGGGAGGCAGCAGUGGGGAAUUUUGGACAAUGGGGGCAACCCUGAUCCAGCCAUGCCGCGUGAGUGAAGAAGG
This 385-nucleotide ribosomal RNA is filed under the name uncultured bacterium. RNAcentral's name for it is "bacterial SSU rRNA". It matches the Rfam family "Bacterial small subunit ribosomal RNA", at positions 30 to 414 of the family's 1533-position model. The record is from RNAcentral.